This 665-nucleotide ribosomal RNA is filed under the name Escherichia coli. Its description in RNAcentral is "partial 23S ribosomal RNA". It matches the Rfam family "Bacterial large subunit ribosomal RNA", at positions 604 to 1268 of the family's 2925-position model. The record is from RNAcentral. Lineage: Bacteria; Pseudomonadati; Pseudomonadota; Gammaproteobacteria; Enterobacterales; Enterobacteriaceae.
CCUUUUGUAUAAUGGGUCAGCGACUUAUAUUCUGUAGCAAGGUUAACCGAAUAGGGGAGCCGAAGGGAAACCGAGUCUUAACUGGGCGUUAAGUUGCAGGGUAUAGACCCGAAACCCGGUGAUCUAGCCAUGGGCAGGUUGAAGGUUGGGUAACACUAACUGGAGGACCGAACCGACUAAUGUUGAAAAAUUAGCGGAUGACUUGUGGCUGGGGGUGAAAGGCCAAUCAAACCGGGAGAUAGCUGGUUCUCCCCGAAAGCUAUUUAGGUAGCGCCUCGUGAAUUCAUCUCCGGGGGUAGAGCACUGUUUCGGCAAGGGGGUCAUCCCGACUUACCAACCCGAUGCAAACUGCGAAUACCGGAGAAUGUUAUCACGGGAGACACACGGCGGGUGCUAACGUCCGUCGUGAAGAGGGAAACAACCCAGACCGCCAGCUAAGGUCCCAAAGUCAUGGUUAAGUGGGAAACGAUGUGGGAAGGCCCAGACAGCCAGGAUGUUGGCUUAGAAGCAGCCAUCAUUUAAAGAAAGCGUAAUAGCUCACUGGUCGAGUCGGCCUGCGCGGAAGAUGUAACGGGGCUAAACCAUGCACCGAAGCUGCGGCAGCGACGCUUAUGCGUUGUUGGGUAGGGGAGCGUUCUGUAAGCCUGCGAAGGUGUGCUGUGAGG